RNAcentral lists this ribosomal RNA (433 nucleotides) under uncultured bacterium. RNAcentral describes it as "partial 16S ribosomal RNA". It matches the Rfam family "Bacterial small subunit ribosomal RNA", at positions 29 to 507 of the family's 1533-position model. The record is from RNAcentral.
AACGAACGCUGGCGGCAUGCCUAACACAUGCAAGUCGAACGAGACCUUCGGGUCUAGUGGCGCACGGGUGCGUAACGCGUGGGAACCUGCCCUUAGGUUCGGAAUAACUCCCCGACAGGGGUGCUAAUACCGGAUAAUGUCUUCGGACCAAAGAUUUAUCGCCUUUGGAUGGGCCCGCGUUGGAUUAGCUAGUUGGUAGGGUAAAAGCCUACCAAGGCGACGAUCCAUAGCUGGUCUGAGAGGAUGAUCAGCCACACUGGGACUGAGACACGGCCCAGACUCCUACGGGAGGCAGCAGUGGGGAAUAGUGGACAAGGGGCGAAAGCCUGAUCCAGCAAUGCCGCGUGAGUGAUGAAGGCCUUAGGGUUGUAAAGCUCUUUUACCCGGGAUGAUAAUGACAGUACCGGGAGAAUAAGCUCCGGCUAACUCCGUG